UACGAAGGGAGCUAGCGUUGUUCGGAAUUAUUGGGCGUAAAGGGCGCGUAGGCGGUUUCGCAUGUCCGAUGUGAAAGCCCACCUCUUAAAGGUGGAAUUGCAUCGGAAACUGCGAGACUAGAGUGCCGGAGAGGGUGGUGGAAUUCCUGGUGUAGAGGUGAAAUUCGUAGAUAUCAGGAGGAACACCGGUGGCGAAGGCGGCCACCUGGACGGUUACUGACGCUGAGGCGCGAAAGCGUGGGGAGCAAACAGG
RNAcentral lists this ribosomal RNA (253 nucleotides) under uncultured bacterium. Its description in RNAcentral is "partial 16S ribosomal RNA". It matches the Rfam family "Bacterial small subunit ribosomal RNA", at positions 524 to 776 of the family's 1533-position model. The record is from RNAcentral.